Small nucleolar RNA from Cavia porcellus (domestic guinea pig), 126 nucleotides. Ensembl annotates it as small nucleolar RNA SNORA64/SNORA10 family. The record is from Ensembl. Lineage: Eukaryota; Metazoa; Chordata; Mammalia; Rodentia; Caviidae.
GUACACAUAUUGAUACAUUUUGGAAAACUGACUUACUGCUGAAGUUCAUAAAAUGGGUGUGCGGCCCUCCUAAUGCUCGACAGACCUGCCCCAAGUGGCCUCUCUGUUCCUAGGAGUGCAACAUAG